GAUGAAGAACGUAGCGAAAUGCGAUAAGUAGUGUGAAUUGCAGAAUUCAGUGAAUCAUCGAAUCUUUGAACGCACAUUGCGCCCGCCAGUAUUCUGGCGGGCAUGCCUGUUCGAGCGUCAUUUCAACCAUCAAGCCCCCGGGCCUGUGUUGGGGACCUGCGGCUGCCCGCAGGCCCCGAAAACCAGUGGCGGGCUCGCUGUCACCCCGAGCGUAGUAGCAACACCUCGCCCAGGGAGUGCCGCGGGCACCGGCCGUAAAACCUCCUCUCGCCCCCCCCCGCGGGAGGGAACACCCCAAAGGUUGACCUCGGAUCAGGUAGGAAGACCCGCUGAACUUAAGCAUAUCAAUAAGCGGAGGA
RNAcentral lists this unclassified non-coding RNA (359 nucleotides) under soil metagenome. Its description in RNAcentral is "partial contains 5.8S ribosomal RNA, internal transcribed spacer 2, and large subunit ribosomal RNA". The stretch from base 1 to 120 matches the Rfam family "5.8S ribosomal RNA", at positions 35 to 154 of the family's 154-position model. The record is from RNAcentral.